CACAUGCGGAAGGUUUCCAGACUAUAGUGCUAUUGGGAGGUUUAGAACCUUUAAGAAAUGGGCCCAUUGCCGGGCGGUGGUGGCGCACGCCUUUAAUCCCAGCACUCGGGAGGCAGAGGCAGGCGGAUCUCUGUGAGUUCGUGGCCAACCUGGUCUACAAAGCCAGUUCCAGGACAGGCUCCAAAGCUACACAGAGAAACCCUGUCCCUGGCUUCUACCUACUUUUCAACGAGGAGGGAGAGGAGGGGUGAGGAAGAGGAGGAGGAAGAAGAGGAAAAAGAAGAAACCAUUGUAAAAUAGGAGAAAUACACAUGAGACUCACCAACCGCCAUGUUCUGGAGUUGGAGAAGUGAACAGAAUGACAUGAAGAUGCAGCCCCUCAAUGAAGCAGGAGAAAUACAGUCAUUCAUCUGUCCUACCCCAUUCAUGGCUCAGGAACCCUUGCAGAAGAGGGGGGCAGAAGGAAUGCAGGAGCUGAGACUGUCCUCCAAGUCAAGAAACCACCAUUUGGGGGAUGUACCCCUUUCAAAGAUCACCCCACCUGGGCUUGUUGACUGUUAACACUCUCUCAUGGAGGGGUGGGGAGGGUUGCAAGACCCUCAUCUGAGUAUCCAGCCGUGCCCUAUCACCUGUUGUACGUCACUCUGUCUCAAUUGUACAUGGCUUGGGUGGGGGGCAGGUGAUGACCACGGACCAGGGGAGGGGGAGUUCCAUCUAUGUGGCUGUGGGGAAGUUCUCGUCCUGCUGGGUAAAGGCUUUCCAGAUGUGGCCUUGUAAGGGAGAACCACUCACACCUGGUAGGUAACCCCUCACCUAUGUUCUGUAAGGAAGCCCAAUAACCCCAUUGGUUCCCCAGUGUGAACCUUGGGUGGAUCCUGCUUGUCUUGGACCUUGGGAGGAGGUGGAGGUGGCUUGCAGCCCCUGGGGAGGAACUUGAACAACAGCUCCUGGUUUGGAGGUUCCCACACAUACUCUGCUGGGCCCAUUGCUCUCAGGUCUCUGGUGAGGGGCUGGAUGUUAAUGGCAGGUAGCUAGCUUGUGGUGAAACUGCUCAUCUCAUGGCCAAAGAGCAAACGAGCAAGAAGAGACAAGAAUUCUAUUAACCCCUCAACAACGUAAGACCCCAGGACACAAAAUUGCCCCCUAAGCCCCACCCUUAAAGAUGUCAUCACCUCUCAGUAGUACUACCCUGUGGUUAAAGCUUUUAACAGUUGAGUCUUUGGGGACCUUUCUGUAUCCAGAUUCUAGGAAGCUCCCUGUUCUCAGAAACACCUGUGUGCUACUGUGAGCAGCAUUCUGGUUACAACUAAGGCUCCUGGCUCCAAUCUUACAGACAGUGGCAACAGCACAGGCUUUCCUGGAGGGUAACUACCCUUGGCACAUGGCCUCACAAAAGCCCAUGCUUUGUGUCCCUCAUGGGGGCUGCUGUCAAAGACUCAGGUGCCCACACAGCUGCUGUGUCUUUUGCAUGAGAGCAUCCAGUUCCUUUGCUGGGGCCUUCUUGUUAAGGAGGAGGUGAAAAAUCCUACACGUUCCCAACUCUGACUCAGAACUCACAGUGUUGCCAAUCUGAGUGCCCUACCUCCAGCUCAUGGUAUGUAAAAUGCUUGUGAUGAGUAUCUUUGUCAACUGGACACAACUUAGAAUUAUCUGGAAAGAGGGUCUCAAUGAGGGAUUGUCUACAGUGGGUUGGCCUAUGGUUGUGUCUUAAUUGAGGCGGGAAGACCCAAGUCACUGUAGGUAGCACCAUUCCCUAGGCAGGGAGUUUCUAACUGUAAGAGUGUAGAAAUCAAGCCAAUCAUAAGAAAGCAAGCAAACAAGCACUCAUACAUUCUCUAUGUCCUCAUAGAUAUAUAUGUGGACAUAGUGUGAUACGAGAACUAUCUCAAGCUUCUGUUGCCAUGACUUCCAUGCAAUGAUGUGCUCUAAACUGGAAUUUCACUAAUAAACCCUUUCUGUUGUGAGCCACAGAAAUAUGAAGUAGGAAUUUGGCUGACUAUGACAAAGCUAUUACCUGGAAGAAUCGAGGAUUUUUUCCAGAGGAAGCCAAGGCUCAAGGAGUAUUGGUGUUAUUUGGCUUUUGUAUAUAUCAGCUAUUUCCUGCAAUGAAUUUCAUGUGUGCUAUUAUAGCUUCCCCAAUUGA
Molecule: long non-coding RNA, 2143 nt
Organism: Peromyscus californicus insignis
Lineage: Eukaryota; Metazoa; Chordata; Mammalia; Rodentia; Cricetidae
Exons: 2
Source: RefSeq, a predicted model, not a curated record